Molecule: ribosomal RNA, 303 nt
Filed under: uncultured bacterium
Lineage: Bacteria
Description: partial 16S ribosomal RNA
Rfam family: Bacterial small subunit ribosomal RNA
Source: RNAcentral
AGCAGCAGCCACGGUAAUACGUAGGGCGCAAGCGUUAUCCGGAAUUAUUGGGCGUAAAGAGCUCGUAGGCGGUUUGUCGCGUCUGCCGUGAAAGUCCGGGGCUCAACCCCGGAUCUGCGGUGGGUACGGGCAGACUAGAGUGAUGUAGGGGAGACUGGAAUUCCUGGUGUAGCGGUGAAAUGCGCAGAUAUCAGGAGGAACACCGAUGGCGAAGGCAGGUCUCUGGGCAUUAACUGACGCUGAGGAGCGAAAGCAUGGGGAGCGAACAGGAUUAGAGACCCGCGUAGUCCCUGUCUCUUAUAC